RNAcentral lists this long non-coding RNA (422 nucleotides) under Lupinus angustifolius (narrow-leaved blue lupine). RNAcentral's name for it is "long non-coding RNA (LANG_LNC002143)". The record is from RNAcentral. Lineage: Eukaryota; Viridiplantae; Streptophyta; Magnoliopsida; Fabales; Fabaceae.
UAGGCACGUGAAUGAGGAAAGGGGAUUGGGGUUUUUAACCAGAUUGGGGAUUUUGGGGAAAUUAGGGUAGAUAGGUGGUUCUCUCCUCCACUUGAACCACCGCUUCUCCUUCUUCUUCUCUAGUAAUCAUGCCCAAAGCAUUUCCAGCACUGCGUAAUGAUGUGGUUUUGCGACGAUAAUGGGCGUUUUAUGGUCUCGCCGGUGGGAGGAGUGCGUCUCUACUCGGACGCGACUUGGCCAUGAUGGUGGAACCUCCAUAAUCCCAACAGCGAGGUGACGAUGGUGACUCCUCGAAGUACCACUUCUUCUUCUUCUCCGAUUACCACGCCGGCAUGAUUUCCGACAUCACUGUCGGAUUUCGGAGUGGUUAGGGGUGAUGAACAUGUUGACAACUUUUUGUUCUUCUUCAUCUUCUCUGGUUG